RNAcentral lists this long non-coding RNA (1164 nucleotides) under Musa acuminata (dwarf banana). RNAcentral describes it as "long non-coding RNA (MACU_LNC002419)". Lineage: Eukaryota; Viridiplantae; Streptophyta; Magnoliopsida; Zingiberales; Musaceae. The record is from RNAcentral.
UUUGCUCCACCUGCCGUGCCCCAUCUCCUCCUCAUCCUCUGAAAUCGCCUGCGCAGCCGUCGGACUCCUCCGCCGCUUGCCCACGGAUCGUCGCUUUCUUCUGCCGUGGCCGGGCCGAGGACUACCUGAGGCUCCCAUGACGAGGAGCAGGAGAAAGACGGAGUCGUCGCGAAUCCCGACACGUUUCUCCUUCGUUGGGGCUAUAAAUGGGGUUCGCUUCGGCCGAUCAUCAUCGGAGUCGCUGGUUUCCCGUCGGUGGGGAGUGCAAUAUGCUCUUGUCUCCUGCCUGUUGUUCUUGAUAUUUUGUUCUGGUAGUUUCUUGAUUCUUGCUUCUAAUCUUGCAUUUAAAAGAUACGGUUGAGAUCCCGUUCCUAGUCCCUCGCCGUCGCACGCUUCCAUGUGGACAUCGGAGUCCGCCACCGCUCGCACGAGGAUCGUCGCUUUCUUCCUCUGCGGCUCCCAUGACGAGGUGGAGAACGGAGCCGUCCUCCUAAUCUUUCAGUCUACGUGGAGUGUGAUCUGUACUUCAGUCAGCCAUCGAAGGCUUUCAUGUGGACGAUGCAUUCUGCGACGUGGAGCCGGAGGGGGAGGAAGCCGUGAAGCCGUCGCGAGGAUCGAGAAGUUUCGUUUCUCCUUCGUUGGGGCUAUAAACAGGGCUCCAUCCGGUCGAUCCUCAUCGUCCUUUUCGGUUUCCCGUCGACGGAGAGUGUUCUUGUCUCGUGCUUGUUGUUCUUGAUCUUUUGGUUUGUUAGUUUAUUGAUUCUUGUUUUUAAUCUUUCAUUUAGUAGACAUGAAUCAAUCCCGAUUAUAGUCCUUUGCCAUCGCAAGUAUUCAUGUUGAUAAUGCAUUUUGUCUUACGGAUAAAAUUAUAAAUGGGGUGUUUAAUCUAAUACUCAUAUAUGUCUGUAUGUCUUGGUUUGUUCAUAUUCGGCAUUGGAUACUUAUAGGUAUUUCGAUCUGUAGUGGAUCAUUUAGAUCAUUUGUUGUGUGACCGUUCAGAGUUUGUAAAGUCCAUUUGUAAUUUAUAUUGGCUACGAAGUGUUUACUGAAAUGAUUACAUGUGGAUCCCGAGUAAGGCAUUUUCUCUGACUCGUUUUCCUUUUUGUAGGUCCUAAGGAACCGAGAUUUCGAGGAGGCAGGACCCGAGGUGGGACUGAGGUUUCG